GAUGAACGCUGGCGGCGUGCCUAAUACAUGCAAGUCGAGCGAACGGACGAGAAGCUUGCUUUUCUGAUGUUAGCGGCGGACGGGUGAGUAACACGUGGAUAACCUACCUAUAAGCCUGGGAUACCUUCGGGAAACCGGAGCUAAUACCGGAUAAUAUUUUGAACCGCAUUGUUCAACAGUGAAAGACUUUCUUGCUGUCCCUUAUCUCUGCCUCCGCGCUGCAUUAGCUAGUUGGUAAGGUAACGGCUUACCAAGGCAACGAUGCAUAGCCGACCUGAGAGGGUGAUCGGCCACACUGGAACUGAGACACGGUGCAGACGCCUGCGGGAGGCAGCAGUAGGGAAUCUUCCGCAAUGGGCGAAAGCCUGAAGGAGGAGGGCCGAGUGAGAGAUGAAGGUCGUCGGAGCGUAAAACUCUGUUAUGAGGGAAGAACAUAUGUGUAAGUAAAUGUGCACAUCUUGACGGUACCUAAUGAGAAAGCCACGGCUAACUACGCG
Molecule: ribosomal RNA, 497 nt
Filed under: uncultured bacterium
Lineage: Bacteria
Description: partial 16S ribosomal RNA
Rfam family: Bacterial small subunit ribosomal RNA
Source: RNAcentral